Molecule: non-coding RNA, 108 nt
Filed under: Alexandrium andersonii
Lineage: Eukaryota; Dinophyceae; Gonyaulacales; Pyrocystaceae
Source: RNAcentral
GCGACUUCGCCUUUCUGGAUGCGGAGGAGGACCAGCUCGUCGCCCCCCGCAGGGGCCGCUUGCUGACCUUCACGGCGGGACCGGAGAACCUUCACCAGGUCCGGAAGG